Mus musculus (house mouse) is the source of this 1553-nucleotide long non-coding RNA. RefSeq annotates it as predicted gene, 31745. Lineage: Eukaryota; Metazoa; Chordata; Mammalia; Rodentia; Muridae. The transcript is spliced from 4 exons. The record is from RefSeq and is a predicted model, not a curated record.
GCUGACUAGGAGACCCUCCAUCUGGCACACAAGCCAGGGACCGUCAUUCCCACCCACCUCCACACCUCCAGUCCCAACAGGGGUGACUAGCUGGGACCAUACUUGGGUGCCCACAUUUAAAAAAAAUUUAGAAGAAUUAUGAAAAAGCUCCUUUGCUCUGCUAUUUCAGACACUGUGUCGGGGCGCAGUAGGCCGGCUCAUUCCAUUCAACCCCCACCCCAACCCCAGAGAAUCCAACCAGCACCAGCACCAGCACCAGCACCAGCACCAGCACCAGCACCAGCGCUGUUAGUCUUAAAGUAGAAUAUCUAAGAGGUCAUCACACUGGGAGAAGGAACGCAAGUCCUCGGAUGGAUAAUUUCAUUCUGGCUGCUGAAAUGAGAGUGGCCAGCCUUACCACAAUCAGUGAAUCUUUGAUGAUGUCUACAGAUGAGUUCUAAUCCUUGCCCACUUUAUGAUCCAGGCUCUGACAAACAACCACAUGGGGAAAAUGCUACCUUUCGUCUACUCCAGUCUUCUUCAAGACCCUCUAUACUACGUUUCUUCAAACCUGGAACAUAGGUAGAGAUUAUGAAACCAGUGGGGGAGUUAUUAUUCUGCAUUGCAGCAUGCGCUCGUUCUAUUAUAGACGCAGAGUUCAUUGAUGAAUGGUGAUGGCACUGCAAAUCAAGUCAACAGCUUAAUUAGCUCAGCGGGACUCAAGGAUGCUUUUCUUGCUGGGUGCCACUGGAUGGCUAUACCAUACCUAGACCCACACCUUGAGGAUUGCGAACUCUGAAUCUACAAACCUGAUACUCAGUGUUGUGUGUGCAUGAAACUUACUGUGGAGGACACUGGCCUAUGUACAGCUCACCUCCCCUCUACGGAGCAGAGCACACCACACUGUCUCUCAGACUUCAGCACAGUUAAACCUCCAUCUCUCUGAAACGUUCGGAUGACACUGCCUUCAUGAAGAUGAGCAUCGCUUACUUGCUCCUGUUAUUUUGAGCCCUCAAAGUCUAAUCUGAAUCUCAGUAUCAAUGCUCGUGUUGACCAUUGUGAUAUCUGAAUGCUCUCCCCUGAUACCAAUUUCCAGAUUGUUCCUUUCCUCUAACAUAGUAGUAUGUGGUUGUUGAAGGAUUUUGUUAUCAUUCCUGUAAGUGGCUAAAAAAUGCUUUGUGGAAGUAUAAUAUCUUAAUGUGUAUAUAUUUAUUUAUAUACAAUUUAAUUUAUAUAUUUUUAUAUACAAUUGUCACGUGUAUAGGACCUUAAUUUACAGUAAGAUGCAGAAAUAUAUGCCAGCAUCUGUAGCUCUGCAGCAAUCUUACCAUUUAUUUCUUGAUCAUCCUGAGGCUCCUCUACACAGUAUACCUGGAAUGAGUCCACAACAUCCUCCUUGUUCACGCUCCAGUACACUGCAAUUGUUGUGCUGGUAGCAGAGCUUGGUUCCUGGGGUUCUAGUCUGGGAGGCUGUGGAACUGGAAGGAAACACAAUUCACUAUGACUAAUGCUAUUUUACUGACUGUUGUGUUUAAAACAUGUUCAAUGUGUUGUUAAAAAAAAAAAACCAACAA